UCCAACAAUUAAACCAUUUGAGAAUUUUUUUUGGAAACAAAAAUAAGUUUAUUAGAUGGUAAUAGGCUUAAUCAUCAUCCUGCCAUCAAACCUUUAAUAAUUUUGUUCACUAGAUAAUAACCUAUCAAAGAAGCCAUCAUGCAGAAAUUUCUUUCUGAAUAUUUAAUGGAACAAAAUCUGCCACCCAUGAUUCUCUCCAGAUCUAUAUUAAGAUGGUUCAUAUGCCCCUGUGGUCUUUUGUUGCUCAUAUUCUUGGCUCUGGUACAGAUUCUUCAGAGAAUCGAACAACAGUUUCCUGAUGUUAUUAAUUUUCCUCCUAUCCCAAUGCAUGCAGAAACCAAAGCAACGUAGGAAGGCAUCAAGUUGCCACUCACCUCUCACACUAAAAAAGGCUUCUUCAUUGCAGAAUUUCAUGAGGUCGCAGACAUGAUCUCAGACUCUGGAAUAACGAUGCACUCUCACCCAAAGUAGAAUAGAAUAGCGUAGCAGCACUUAACCAAAGCCAUCAUUGCUGGCUCAGAGUUUUCGAGUGUCUGUUAAUUAAACAUGUUACGUCAAUUCGCUCGUCGCCUGAUCGCAGAGAAUGAGUGCCUGCAAAAGAAAAUCCACGCUGAUCGGAGAUGGCUCCGGCGGAGACCCUCCGACGGUCAAGUCAGAGAGAAGACUAGGCAACAGUAAAAAAAGAGACAAGAAGCUCUACGAGGAGAGGGGGAGAGAGAGAAGGAGACCCUGAGCCUUUUUUUUCGGAGGAGACCUCUAGCACUGUUGCCUUCCCCGAUUUAUAGUAGGAGGUGGUAUGGCCUCACCGUCGGUGAUGUAGACAACUGGAGAGUUGUCAAAUCGUCGGAGGUUGCCACGUCGUUAACAAAGUUGACAGGUCCUAGGAAUUAAUUCUCGUCCUUAGCAGGAUAGCACCCCAGAUUUUCUGACAGGAUAAUACCUCCUGACGUUCGUACGGCGUUUACUUGAUGGGACUGCAGCCCAUGCCGCUCAUCCGGNNNNNNNNNNNNNNNNNNNNGUCGUUAACAAAGUUGACAGGUCCUAGGAAUUAAUUCUCGUCCUUAGCAGGAUAGCACCCCAGAUUUUCUGACAGGAUAAUACCUCCUGACGUUCGUACGGCGUUUACUUGAUGGGACUGCAGCCCAUGCCGCUCAUCCGGCAUCUAAGAGGGCCUGUAGAGGUGGGACGUCAGUCAUCCAAUCUGAUGGUGAAUCGUCGGCGUCCCAUCCGAUAAGAAAUCGGUGGCGGAAGGUCGGCCCUCAGGUGAUCGGAGGCGACGUCGGGUCGUUAGACCGAUCCGCUCCGAUCGGAACACAAUCGGUAGACGCUGUCGGUGUCGCCCGC
RNAcentral lists this long non-coding RNA (1344 nucleotides) under Elaeis guineensis (African oil palm). RNAcentral describes it as "long non-coding RNA (EGUI_LNC020775)". Lineage: Eukaryota; Viridiplantae; Streptophyta; Magnoliopsida; Arecales; Arecaceae. The record is from RNAcentral.